GGGUUGUGAGGUUAAGCGACUAAGCGUACACGGUGGAUGCCCUGGCAGUCAGAGGCGAUGAAGGACGUGCUAAUCUGCGAUAAGCGUCGGUAAGGUGAUAUGAACCGUUAUAACCGGCGAUUUCCGAAUGGGGAAACCCAGUGUGAUUCGUCACACUAUCAUUAACUGAAUCCAUAGGUUAAUGAGGCGAACCGGGGGAACUGAAACAUCUAAGUACCCCGAGGAAAAGAAAUCAACCGAGAUUCCCCCAGUAGCGGCGAGCGAACGGGGAGCAGCCCAGAGCCUGAAUCAGUGUGUGUGUUAGUGGAAGCGUCUGGAAAGGCGCGCGAUACAGGGUGACAGCCCCGUACACAAAAAUGCACAUGCUGUGAGCUCGAUGAGUAGGGCGGGACACGUGGUAUCCUGUCUGAAUAUGGGGGGACCAUCCUCCAAGGCUAAAUACUCCUGACUGACCGAUAGUGAACCAGUACCGUGAGGGAAAGGCGAAAAGAACCCCGGCGAGGGGAGUGAAAAAGAACCUGAAACCGUGUACGUACAAGCAGUGGGAGCACGCUUAGGCGUGUGACUGCGUACCUUUUGUAUAAUGGGUCAGCGACUUAUAUUCUGUAGCAAGGUUAACCGAAUAGGGGAGCCGAAGGGAAACCGAGUCUUAACUGGGCGUUAAGUUGCAGGGUAUAGACCCGAAACCCGGUGAUCUAGCCAUGGGCAGGUUGAAGGUUGGGUAACACUAACUGGAGGACCGAACCGACUAAUGUUGAAAAAUUAGCGGAUGACUUGUGGCUGGGGGUGAAAGGCCAAUCAAACCGGGAGAUAGCUGGUUCUCCCCGAAAGCUAUUUAGGUAGCGCCUCGUGAAUUCAUCUCCGGGGGUAGAGCACUGUUUCGGCAAGGGGGUCAUCCCGACUUACCAACCCGAUGCAAACUGCGAAUACCGGAGAAUGUUAUCACGGGAGACACACGGCGGGUGCUAACGUCCGUCGUGAAGAGGGAAACAACCCAGACCGCCAGCUAAGGUCCCAAAGUCAUGGUUAAGUGGGAAACGAUGUGGGAAGGCCCAGACAGCCAGGAUGUUGGCUUAGAAGCAGCCAUCAUUUAAAGAAAGCGUAAUAGCUCACUGGUCGAGUCGGCCUGCGCGGAAGAUGUAACGGGGCUAAACCAUGCACCGAAGCUGCGGCAGCGACGCUGAUGCGUUGUUGGGUAGGGGAGCGUUCUGUAAGCCUGCGAAGGUGUGCUGUGAGGCAUGCUGGAGGUAUCAGAAGUGCGAAUGCUGACAUAAGUAACGAUAAAGCGGGUGAAAAGCCCGCUCGCCGGAAGACCAAGGGUUCCUGUCCAACGUUAAUCGGGGCAGGGUGAGUCGACCCCUAAGGCGAGGCCGAAAGGCGUAGUCGAUGGGAAACAGGUUAAUAUUCCUGUACUUGGUGUUACUGCGAAGGGGGGACGGAGAAGGCUAUGUUGGCCGGGCGACGGUUGUCCCGGUUUAAGCGUGUAGGCUGGUUUUCCAGGCAAAUCCGGAAAACUAAGGCUGAGGCGUGAUGACGAGGCACUACGGUGCUGAAGCAACAAAUGCCCUGCUUCCAGGAAAAGCCUCUAAGCAUCAGGUAACAUCAAAUCGUACCCCAAACCGACACAGGUGGUCAGGUAGAGAAUACCAAGGCGCUUGAGAGAACUCGGGUGAAGGAACUAGGCAAAAUGGUGCCGUAACUUCGGGAGAAGGCACGCUGAUAUGUAGGUGAAGCGACUUGCUCGUGGAGCUGAAAUCAGUCGAAGAUACCAGCUGGCUGCAACUGUUUAUUAAAAACACAGCACUGUGCAAACACGAAAGUGGACGUAUACGGUGUGACGCCUGCCCGGUGCCGGAAGGUUAAUUGAUGGGGUCAGCGCAAGCGAAGCUCUUGAUCGAAGCCCCGGUAAACGGCGGCCGUAACUAUAACGGUCCUAAGGUAGCGAAAUUCCUUGUCGGGUAAGUUCCGACCUGCACGAAUGGCGUAAUGAUGGCCAGGCUGUCUCCACCCGAGACUCAGUGAAAUUGAACUCGCUGUGAAGAUGCAGUGUACCCGCGGCAAGACGGAAAGACCCCGUGAACCUUUACUAUAGCUUGACACUGAACAUUGAGCCUUGAUGUGUAGGAUAGGUGGGAGGCUUUGAAGUGUGGACGCCAGUCUGCAUGGAGCCGACCUUGAAAUACCACCCUUUAAUGUUUGAUGUUCUAACGUGGACCCGUGAUCCGGGUUGCGGACAGUGUCUGGUGGGUAGUUUGACUGGGGCGGUCUCCUCCUAAAGAGUAACGGAGGAGCACGAAGGUUGGCUAAUCCUGGUCGGACAUCAGGAGGUUAGUGCAAUGGCAUAAGCCAGCUUGACUGCGAGCGUGACGGCGCGAGCAGGUGCGAAAGCAGGUCAUAGUGAUCCGGUGGUUCUGAAUGGAAGGGCCAUCGCUCAACGGAUAAAAGGUACUCCGGGGAUAACAGGCUGAUACCGCCCAAGAGUUCAUAUCGACGGCGGUGUUUGGCACCUCGAUGUCGGCUCAUCACAUCCUGGGGCUGAAGUAGGUCCCAAGGGUAUGGCUGUUCGCCAUUUAAAGUGGUACGCGAGCUGGGUUUAGAACGUCGUGAGACAGUUCGGUCCCUAUCUGCCGUGGGCGCUGGAGAACUGAGGGGGGCUGCUCCUAGUACGAGAGGACCGGAGUGGACGCAUCACUGGUGUUCGGGUUGUCAUGCCAAUGGCACUGCCCGGUAGCUAAAUGCGGAAGAGAUAAGUGCUGAAAGCAUCUAAGCACGAAACUUGCCCCGAGAUGAGUUCUCCCUGACUCCUUGAGAGUCCUGAAGGAACGUUGAAGACGACGACGUUGAUAGGCCGGGUGUGUAAGCGCAGCGAUGCGUUGAGCUAACCGGUACUAAUGAACCGUGAGGCUUAACCUUACAACGCCGAAGGUGUUU
Molecule: ribosomal RNA, 2931 nt
Filed under: Escherichia coli
Lineage: Bacteria; Pseudomonadati; Pseudomonadota; Gammaproteobacteria; Enterobacterales; Enterobacteriaceae
Description: 23S ribosomal RNA
Rfam family: Bacterial large subunit ribosomal RNA
Source: RNAcentral